Molecule: ribosomal RNA, 370 nt
Filed under: uncultured bacterium
Lineage: Bacteria
Description: partial 16S ribosomal RNA
Rfam family: Bacterial small subunit ribosomal RNA
Source: RNAcentral
CCUACGGGUGGCUGCAGUGGGGAAUGUUGCGCAAUGGUCGUAAGAGUGACGCAGCGACGCCGCGUGAGUGACGAAGGCCUUCGGGUCGUAAAGGUCUAUCGACAGGGAAGAAAAUGCCAAUAAGUAACUGUGUAUGUAUUGACGGUACGGGUAUAAGCAGCCCCGGCUAACGCCGUGCCAGCAGCCGCGGUAAUACGGAGGGGGCGAGCGUUGUUCGGAGUGACUGGGCGUAAAGGGCACGUAGGCGGUGUUGUAAGUCAUGAGUCAAAGCCUAGGGCUCAACUUGAGUAUGGCUAGUGAUACUCUCAUACUAGAGUAUCAGAGAGGUUUGCGGAAUUCCUGGUGUAGCGGUGACAUGCGUAGAUAUCUG